Long non-coding RNA from Callorhinchus milii (elephant shark), 391 nucleotides. RefSeq lists it as uncharacterized. The transcript has 3 exons. Lineage: Eukaryota; Metazoa; Chordata; Chondrichthyes; Chimaeriformes; Callorhinchidae. The record is from RefSeq and is a predicted model, not a curated record.
UGUGACCAGGGUGUGUUAUUACUUUUAUGGCCCAGAACACUGAAGCUCAUCACUGAGAGGCUCGGGAACCAGAGGCAGGAACCGCAGCUCAAGCAGUGGGGAGAGAAGACGCCCAGAACACUGAAGCCACUUCACUGAGAGGCUCGGGAACCAAAGGCAGGAACCGCAGCUCAGUCAGCGGGGAGACAAGACGCCCAGAACACUGAAGCACAUCACUGAGAGGCUCGGGAACCAGAGGCAGGAACCGCAGCUCAGUCAGCUGGGGAGACAAGACGGUGAGUCUCUCAUUUGCUCUGAUUGUGACUGAAAUAAGGCAGUAAAGUUACUUCAGGUUUUUAGCACUUGGAAUGAUAGGAGAAGGAGAGAUAAAGUGCGCGAGAAAUGAUUGGGA